This 270-nucleotide ribosomal RNA is filed under the name uncultured archaeon. RNAcentral's name for it is "partial 16S ribosomal RNA". It matches the Rfam family "Archaeal small subunit ribosomal RNA", at positions 477 to 747 of the family's 1478-position model. The record is from RNAcentral.
CAGCACCUCAAGUGGUCAGGAUGAUUAUUGGGCCUAAAGCAUCCGUAGCCGGCGCUGUAAGUUUUCGGUUGAAUCUGUACGCUCAACGUACAGGCUGCCGGGAAUACUGCAGCGCUAGGGAGUGGGAGAGGUAGACGGUACUCGGUAGGAAGGGGUAAAAUCCUUUGAUCUAUUGAUGACCACCUGUGGCGAAGGCGGUCUACCAGAACACGUCCGACGGUGAGGGAUGAAAGCUGGGGGAGCAAACCGGAUUAGAGACCCGAGUAGUCC